UGUAUGUAAUUUAAAAAAAAUACCAAGCUGUGACCU
This 36-nucleotide transfer RNA is filed under the name Pseudechis australis (mulga snake). Its description in RNAcentral is "partial tRNA-His". Lineage: Eukaryota; Metazoa; Chordata; Lepidosauria; Squamata; Elapidae. The record is from RNAcentral.